This 1338-nucleotide ribosomal RNA is filed under the name Glutamicibacter sp. Its description in RNAcentral is "bacterial SSU rRNA". It matches the Rfam family "Bacterial small subunit ribosomal RNA", at positions 80 to 1430 of the family's 1533-position model. The record is from RNAcentral. Lineage: Bacteria; Bacillati; Actinomycetota; Actinomycetes; Micrococcales; Micrococcaceae.
UUGCUGGGUGGAUUAGUGGCGAACGGGUGAGUAACACGUGAGUAACCUGCCCCCGACUCUGGGAUAAGCCCGGGAAACUGGGUCUAAUACCGGAUAUUACCUUUGACCGCAUGGUUGUUGGUGGAAAGAUUUAUCGGUGGGGGAUGGACUCGCGGCCUAUCAGCUUGUUGGUGAGGUAAUGGCUCACCAAGGCGACGACGGGUAGCCGGCCUGAGAGGGUGACCGGCCACACUGGGACUGAGACACGGCCCAGACUCCUACGGGAGGCAGCAGUGGGGAAUAUUGCACAAUGGGCGAAAGCCUGAUGCAGCGACGCCGCGUGAGGGAUGACGGCCUUCGGGUUGUAAACCUCUUUCAGUAGGGAAGAAGCGAAAGUGACGGUACCUGCAGAAGAAGCGCCGGCUAACUACGUGCCAGCAGCCGCGGUAAUACGUAGGGCGCAAGCGUUAUCCGGAUUUAUUGGGCGUAAAGAGCUCGUAGGCGGUUUGUCGCGUCUGCCGUGAAAGUCCGAGGCUCAACCUCGGAUCUGCGGUGGGUACGGGCAGACUAGAGUGAUGUAGGGGAGACUGGAAUUCCUGGUGUAGCGGUGAAAUGCGCAGAUAUCAGGAGGAACACCGAUGGCGAAGGCAGGUCUCUGGGCAUUUACUGACGCUGAGGAGCGAAAGCAUGGGGAGCGAACAGGAUUAGAUACCCUGGUAGUCCAUGCCGUAAACGUUGGGCACUAGGUGUGGGGGACAUUCCACGUUUUCCGCGCCGUAGCUAACGCAUUAAGUGCCCCGCCUGGGGAGUACGGCCGCAAGGCUAAAACUCAAAGGAAUUGACGGGGGCCCGCACAAGCGGCGGAGCAUGCGGAUUAAUUCGAUGCAACGCGAAGAACCUUACCAAGGCUUGACAUGUGCCAGACCGCCUCAGAGAUGGGGUUUCCCUUCGGGGCUGGUUCACAGGUGGUGCAUGGUUGUCGUCAGCUCGUGUCGUGAGAUGUUGGGUUAAGUCCCGCAACGAGCGCAACCCUCGUUCCAUGUUGCCAGCACGUAAAGGUGGGGACUCAUGGGAGACUGCCGGGGUCAACUCGGAGGAAGGUGGGGAUGACGUCAAAUCAUCAUGCCCCUUAUGUCUUGGGCUUCACGCAUGCUACAAUGGCCGGUACAAUGGGUUGCGAUACUGUGAGGUGGAGCUAAUCCCUAAAAGCCGGUCUCAGUUCGGAUUGGGGUCUGCAACUCGACCCCAUGAAGUCGGAGUCGCUAGUAAUCGCAGAUCAGCAACGCUGCGGUGAAUACGUUCCCGGGCCUUGUACACACCGCCCGUCAAGUCACGAAAGUUGGUAACACCCGAAGCCGA